GACGAACGCGGCGGCGUGCCUAGUACAUGCAAGUCGAACGCACGAAGUUGAAGAGCUUGCUCUUUAACCAAGUGAGUGGCGGACGGGUGAGUAACACGUGGGUAACCUGCCCAUUAGAGGGGGGAUAACAUUCGGAAACGGAUGCUAAUACCGCAUAGUUUCAGGAAUCGCAUGAUUCUUGAAGGAAAGGUGGCUUCGGCUACCACUAAUGGAUGGACCCGCGGCGUAUUAGCUAGUUGGUGAGGUAAUGGCUCACCAAGGCAAUGAUACGUAGCCGACCUGAGAGGGUGAUCGGCCACACUGGGACUGAGACACGGCCCAGACUCCUACGGGAGGCAGCAGUAGGGAAUCUUCCGCAAUGGACGAAAGUCUGACGGAGCAACGCCGCGUGAGUGAAGAAGGUUUUCGGAUCGUAAAACUCUGUUGUUAAAGAAGAACAAGGAUGAGAGUAACUGCUCAUCCCCUGACGGUAUUUAACCAGAAAGCCACGGCUAACUACGUGCCAGCAGCCGCGGUAAUACGUAGGUGGCAAGCGUUGUCCGGAUUUAUUGGGCGUAAAGCGAGCGCAGGCGGUUCUUUAAGUCUGAUGUGAAAGCCCCCGGCUCAACCGGGGAGGGUCAUUGGAAACUGGAGAACUUGAGUGCAGAAGAGGAGAGUGGAAUUCCACGUGUAGCGGUGAAAUGCGUAGAUAUGUGGAGGAACACCAGUGGCGAAGGCGACUCUCUGGUCUGUAACUGACGCUGAGGCUCGAAAGCGUGGGGAGCAAACAGG
Molecule: ribosomal RNA, 771 nt
Filed under: uncultured Vagococcus sp.
Lineage: Bacteria; Bacillati; Bacillota; Bacilli; Lactobacillales; Enterococcaceae
Description: bacterial SSU rRNA
Rfam family: Bacterial small subunit ribosomal RNA
Source: RNAcentral